Clupea harengus (Atlantic herring) is the source of this 2250-nucleotide RNA transcript. RefSeq lists it as uncharacterized. Lineage: Eukaryota; Metazoa; Chordata; Actinopteri; Clupeiformes; Clupeidae. The transcript is spliced from 2 exons. The record is from RefSeq and is a predicted model, not a curated record.
UGGAAAUAUUUGCUUUUUAUUAGAUGUGUGUUGCCAUCUUUUGAUCCACAUUGUAUCCCUUGCUAGUGCACACUAUGUGUAAUGAGUAUGUAGCCUUGGAUAAUGAAGCAUGUAUAGCAUAUCAUGUGUGGAACAUUCUAGUCACAGAAUGGGGUUUAGCAAAGGACAGGAAAGCCCAUUGGUCUGCCUUUGGCCUUUUUAAGUGCUUUACUCAGCACUUUCCUCUGCCUAGAAUGGUCUCUCCAUUGAUUGGGGUCCAGAGGCAGAGCAUGUGUAUAAUUUGAUGUAUAGAAUUAGGGAUGUGACGGAGAGCAGUGCAACCCAUCAUGACGGAUGUAACCACAUAUGUGUUUUCUUUUAUGGAAACUUUUUUUUCUCUCCCCCUCUGACUCGGAUGACAAAAGGCUGCUCUCGACUACCCUCGAGUUGUGAAACAUUGGUGUCUGUUGUUCAUUUUCUUCAUUUUGCUUUUUUUCCUCUCUAUUUGUCUCCCCCCCCCCGCCCCCCUUUCUUCUUGUCUUCCGUGAAAGUGACUCUUAUUGAAUUUGAACACAAGUGUUAAUCAUCUCUCUCUCUCUCUGUUUUUCUCUCUCCAUUUCUCUCUCGUUCACAGGUCAGAAAUUUAGACGGCAUUGCACUUAUUCUUGACAACUGCAGCAUUGAUAGCAAAAACCCCUUCAUAAGCCAAUGGGCUAUUUUUGCUAUUCGGAACAUUCUGGAGAACUGUGUGGAGAACCAGGAGGUGGUUCAGGCUCUGAAGAGGCAGGGCGUGGCUGAUGACUCCAUCCUAAAGGAGAUGGGCUACAAGAUGGAGGAUCGGGACGGCAACAUGCUUCUCCGACCUCUCAAGAAGGACCAUUAGUUCCCCUGGGGGGCGGGGGGCGGGGGGGGGGGAGGGAAGAGAGAGGUGACAUGCCUGAGCGGACAGGAAUGCCAUCAGGAGGUGCCGGUCCAGAGUAAGAGCUCUUGACUCUGUUGGCUUAAUGUAUGUCUUGAGUCAUGUAAGGGCUUGGGGACACCAGCAGGACCUUGUGUACACUAGAGGGACACUGAUCUCCGUUGCUGAUGUUCCUUAUUCUCUGAAUGGUUAAUAGGCAGUAGAGGCUCAGGCUCCCACUCAGGUAUCCACUCAUGUUACAGUCAGGGGAAGUUUCUACUCAGGGUCAACAGUGCUCUUAAAUGACAAGUCAAGUCGUCAAAUGUAUUUAUAAAGGCACAUUCCAGGAUGAUCUUAGUAAGUAGCAGUGAUGGGGACUACUUUUGUGAUCAGUUGUACAAGGGACCUCUCUUUCCUGAGACACGUGUUGUUUUGGAAUGAUUGCAGUUUAUUUUCCAGAAGAACAAUCUUAAACUCAUCUCUUUGCUACAUCAUUUCUAAGAAUCCAGCUGAAGAAAACCAACUUUUAACAUCAAACAGGAGUUGAUCUGUGCAUACAUCUGCAUUAACUUUAGCUCACGCCAGAGCACAGUCCCUAUUGGUUCCACUUGUAUUGUCUCCAAUUGGAUCUAGUCAAGAACUGUAAAUGGAUUGAAGUCUUCACGCAGGCAUAAAUCAGACAGUGUGUGUUCUCAUUUCACUGGGUGUCAUAUGGCAGAUGCCUCCUGACUCCCGACUCCUGGCUCAAUCUGGAACAACAGAGCUCAAAGUGAAUCAGACCAGAAGCAUUAGCUCGCAGAAUGACAGCCCUGCCCCAUGAAUAAGCUGAGUUGUCCUGACACCUCUACAAUGCCCUGCUUUACAGACUGGUCCUCUCGCUCACUCCCCCUGUUUUCUCUGCCUCAUAUUUUUUAAUGACAAAAUGUUUGUCUGAAACAAUCAGGUUUACUUUCCCCAAUCCGGCGUAUAGUGUGGGGAGCUUAUUGCGGUUCCGGUCCCCAGGAUUUCAGACGGCUAACAAAACACAUCUUUACUUCUGCUCUGCUGGCUGCCUGCAAUGCUUUUCACACACAGGAAAACCAGUGCUAGUGCUGGCUGGCUGACUGAGGUGGAGCCGGUGCCUUUGGAGCGUUCACAGGGCAUCACAGGGCAUCACAGGGCAUCACAGCAGACAGGAGCAAAGAUGCAAUAGAUCAGCAUUUACAAAUCUCACCCUCAAGUUUUUAUUAUUAUUAUUAUUAUUAUUAAUAUUAUUAUUUUGUACUGGUAUGCGCCCAAACUCAUGCCAUCCCAAUUGUGUGUGUGUGAAACAAUAUAUGAUUUUCAAAACAUGUUUCCAUCGCUUCCAAUAAAAUACUGAAACCCUUUCAAUA